RNAcentral lists this non-coding RNA (407 nucleotides) under Enterobacter hormaechei. The record is from RNAcentral. Lineage: Bacteria; Pseudomonadati; Pseudomonadota; Gammaproteobacteria; Enterobacterales; Enterobacteriaceae.
GUUUUUUCAGCGUGCUGUCCAGCGGCUUGAUAUAGAGGCUGUUGUUAUUAAGGCUAACGUCGCCUUUGGCGGUGGUCAUUUCACCGUCCAGCGGGAUAUCCAGAUGUAAGCGAGCAUUCACAUCGCCAUCUAACUGCAACUGCUGAAGGGUGGCUGCCAGGGAGUCUUUCAGCGGCGUAUCUUCAAAGUACGGGCCAACCGCUUUACCUGGCCCCUUAAUAUCCGCAUCAAUCAGCAGUUUCUCUUUGGAGUAAUCCGGGAUGUUUGCCGUCAGGUUGCUUGCCGUUACGCCGCCCAGCGCAACGCUGUCCGUCUUCAUCCACAGGCCGUCAUUCAGGAAGUUGAGUUCAAUAUCCAGAUUCUUCAGCGCCGGCCAGUCCGGCUGGAAGGCAUAGGUGGCGUUGCGU